AUGUAUGGAUGCAGCGCUCAUCCCCCUUUGUCGUCAGGGCAUACGUAUAGCAAAUUACCUGGACGAUUGGGUAAUCUGUUCCCCUACAAAACAGCAGGCCAGGAACAACACAAAGGUGGUCCUAACCCAUUUACAGAACUUGGGGCUGAAGCUGCACAGCAGGAAGAGUUAUCUCAUUCCCACCAGGGCAGUCACAUACCUAGGGUUGACUUUGGAUUCAACAACGAUGAGAGCAUCUCUGACUUCUCAGAGGCGAUUGGUGUUGGAAGAAUGUCUAUCCCGGCUCCUCUGGAAGAAGCAGGUUACAGUGAAGUUUGGUCGGAGGCUGCUUGGCCUGUUGGCAGCAGCCAGUCAGGUGGUACCAUUGGGAUUGCUUCACAUGCGCCCUCUGCAGCUAUGGUUAGCAAAAUACAAAGUGAGUCCAUACAAGAAUGGACAGCAACUGAUUCCAAGGGAUGGGGAUUGUCUUCCAACAGUCCAGUGGUGGCUCUCGACUCCAGGCCUAAAGGAAGGAGUCACACUGGGCCCUUUAUGUUUAAGGGAGAUGAUAACAACAGAUGCGUCACUGGAGGGCUGGGGUGCUGUCUGGCGAGGCAAUCCAGCACAAGGACAAUGAGAUGCCUCGUGGAGAGGAGCACACAUAAAUCUCCUGGAACUGGAGGCAGUAUUUCGGGCCCUGAUCCAUUUUCGGCCUCAGCUUCGGGAGAAGCAUGUCAUUGUUCGCUCAGACAGUACCACAGUAGUGUCAUAUAUAAACCAUCAAGGUGGAUUACGUUCGACGUCCCUUUACAGGAGAGCUCGGGACCUCCUGUUAUGGGCACAUGCUCAGGGGGUGUCCCUGAGGGCCUUACACCUCCCGGGAGAGGACAAUGUAGCAGCCGACCUUUUGUCCAGGGGAGGCCCCAGGCCAGGGGAAUGGCGACUACAUCCGGCAUUGGUGCAGGAGAUCUGGUCUCGGUUCGGGGGGGCUCAGGUAGAUCUCUUUGCCUCACUGGAAACCACGCAUUGUCCCCUGUAGUAUUCAAUAGUGGCCCCCUGCUCGAUGAGAAAGGUUCUCUCGAUGGUGUCAGUCCAAGGAAAUGGACCCAGUUUCAUGCGGAGUGGAGUUAG
Molecule: long non-coding RNA, 1110 nt
Organism: Cyprinus carpio carpio
Lineage: Eukaryota; Metazoa; Chordata; Actinopteri; Cypriniformes; Cyprinidae
Source: Ensembl